This 73-nucleotide transfer RNA is filed under the name Marmota marmota marmota (Alpine marmot). It matches the Rfam family "tRNA". From Rfam's summary of the family: Transfer RNA (tRNA) molecules are approximately 80 nucleotides in length. Their secondary structure includes four short double-helical elements and three loops (D, anti-codon, and T loops). Further hydrogen bonds mediate the characteristic L-shaped molecular structure. tRNAs have two regions of fundamental functional importance: the anti-codon, which is responsible for specific mRNA codon recognition, and the 3' end, to which the tRNAs corresponding amino acid is attached (by aminoacyl-tRNA synthetases). tRNAs cope with the degeneracy of the genetic code in two manners: having more than one tRNA (with a specific anti-codon) for a particular amino acid; and 'wobble' base-pairing, i.e. permitting non-standard base-pairing at the 3rd anti-codon position. RNAcentral also lists the same sequence under 1 other name. The record is from Rfam by way of RNAcentral. Lineage: Eukaryota; Metazoa; Chordata; Mammalia; Rodentia; Sciuridae.
GGAGAUAUAGCUCAGUUGGUAGAGUGCUUGCCUUGCAUGCAUGAGGUCCUGGGUUCAAUCCCCAGCACCACUA